GCGGGUGUAGCUCAAUGGUAGAGCAGCAGCCUUCCAAGCUGACGACGAGAGUUCGAUUCUCUUCACCCGCUCCA
Molecule: transfer RNA, 74 nt
Filed under: Candidatus Phaeomarinibacter ectocarpi
Lineage: Bacteria; Pseudomonadati; Pseudomonadota; Alphaproteobacteria; Hyphomicrobiales; Parvibaculaceae
Also listed under: 3 other names
Description: tRNA-Gly (TCC) (tRNA-Gly-TCC-1-1)
Rfam family: tRNA
About the family: Transfer RNA (tRNA) molecules are approximately 80 nucleotides in length.
Source: RNAcentral